CCUACGGGUGGCAGCAGUGGGGAAUAUUGGGCAAUGGGCGCAAGCCUGACCCAGCAACGCCGCGUGAAGGAAGAAGGCUUUCGGGUUGUAAACUUCUUUUGACAGGGAAGAGUAGAAGACGGUACCUGUCGAAUAAGCCACGGCUAACUACGUGCCAGCAGCCGCGGUAAUACGUAGGUGGCAAGCGUUGUCCGGAUUUACUGGGUGUAAAGGGCGUGUAGGCUGUGAGGUAAGUCAGCGGUGAAAUGUCCCCGCUCAACGGGGUGAAGUGCCAUUGAUACUGCCUUGCUGGAAUGCGGAUGCCGUGGGAGGAAUGUGUGGUGUAGCGGUGAAAUGCAUAGAUAUCACACAGAACACCGAUUGCGAAGGCAUCUCACGAAUCCGCGAUUGACGCUGAUGCACGAAAGCGUGGGUAUCAAACAGGAUUAGAUACCCGGGUAGUC
RNAcentral lists this ribosomal RNA (443 nucleotides) under uncultured bacterium. RNAcentral describes it as "partial 16S ribosomal RNA". It matches the Rfam family "Bacterial small subunit ribosomal RNA", at positions 338 to 795 of the family's 1533-position model. The record is from RNAcentral.